This 489-nucleotide long non-coding RNA is filed under the name Piliocolobus tephrosceles (Ugandan red Colobus). RNAcentral describes it as "lncRNA (ENSPTEG00000016280.1)". The record is from RNAcentral. Lineage: Eukaryota; Metazoa; Chordata; Mammalia; Primates; Cercopithecidae.
CAUGAACUUCAUGAUAUGUACUGAAUGUCUCCAUUGUGCAAGUCACUGGGCUAAGUCCAAUGGAUAGUAUAACAGUAAAUCCCUGACCUCAAAUAAUUCUGAUCAAGAACCAGCACUGGGAGUGAGCCAACCUUUAAAGAGAUGUUAACACAGCAUACUCCUAACUGGAUUUUUAUCCAAAGCUGCCACUCUCACAACAGUUGACCCAAGAAAAAGUGAAUGAAAACUUUGAUCAUCUCAUGGAAGUCUAUCUAAAGAAAUCUGACCUAUCAGGAACACCAGUAAGAAUGAAGAAGGAAUCCAAACCACCACACAAAUUGGUUGAUCACUUGGCAAAGUGGCCUAUCUGUGAAGAAGCCAGCACCUGUCUAGAGACCAGGUCUAGAAUCCAGGGGUGAAGUGUUUGAGCCACGGAGGCUGACCAUAUGAGAGCAGCUGGGUAGGUAUAAUCCCAUGCCCAAUGGCAAUAGUCAGGUCUAUGUUCUCGAG